RNAcentral lists this ribosomal RNA (563 nucleotides) under uncultured bacterium. Its description in RNAcentral is "bacterial SSU rRNA". It matches the Rfam family "Bacterial small subunit ribosomal RNA", at positions 338 to 916 of the family's 1533-position model. The record is from RNAcentral.
CCUACGGGAGGCAGCAGCAAGGAAUUUUGGGCAAUGGGCGAAAGCCUGACCCAGCGACACCGCGUGAGGGAAUAAGGCCUUCGGGUUGUAAACCUCUUUUCCUGGGGAAGAAUCUCGACGGUACCCAGGGAAUAAGCCUCGGCCAACUACGUGCCAGCAGCCGCGGUAAUACGUAGGAGGCGAACGUUAUUCGGAUUUACUGGGCGUAAAGGGCGCGUAGGCGGUCUUUUAAGUCAGAUGUGAAAGCCCUCGGCUUAACCGAGGAAGUGCAUUUGAUACUAAGGGACUUGAGUAUGGGAGAGGGAAGCGGAAUUCCUGGUGUAGCGGUGAAAUGCGUAGAUAUCAGGAGGAACACCGGUGGCGAAGGCGGCUUCCUGGACCAAUACUGACGCUGAGGCGCGAAGGCGUGGGGAGCAAACAGGAUUAGAUACCCUGGUAGUCCACGCAGUAAACGGUGAACACUAGGUGUAGCGGGUAUUGACCCCUGCUGUGCCGAAGCUAACGCAUUAAGUGUUCCGCCUGGGAAGUACGGCCGCAAGGUUAAAACUCAAAGGAAUUGACGG